Mesocricetus auratus (golden hamster) is the source of this 738-nucleotide long non-coding RNA. RefSeq lists it as uncharacterized. Lineage: Eukaryota; Metazoa; Chordata; Mammalia; Rodentia; Cricetidae. The record is from RefSeq and is a predicted model, not a curated record. The transcript is spliced from 3 exons.
AGAUCAGGACAUAAAGCUCUCAGCCACUGCUCCAGCACCAGACCUAUCUGCUUCCGGACAUGAUGAUCAUGGACUAAAACUGAUCAACUGAUGCUCCCAGAACAAAACUAAAGGCCCUACUGUGACACAAAGAUUCCCUGCAGUCUGGCUUCUGCACACCUCCCACGUCUUUCAUGUUCGGGACUCGGCUUCCAGUCACCUCCCCCAGGGCUUCAAGGUCCUGGGAUCAAACUCCAGUCAUCAGGUUUGGUGGCCUGAACCUUCAUCUGCUGAACCAUGUCAGUGGCUCCUACAUAGUCUAACUUAUUCAGGCAAACCAGAGACAUCCAGGAAGGUGUGUGGUGCCCAGGGCAGUGGGACAUGUUUGAUUUCAUCUGCAGUCCCUGGGCAUCUGUUCAUUAACAUAUCUGUAAUGGCAUCAAAUGGAAGAAGGGGUCUCCACCCCAGCAUGAGAAGGUCCAAGGGUAAAUUCUCCCUCCUCUUUUAGAAAUUGUGUUUCUUGGCAAAAGGGCAUGUCUGAGAUGGCCCCCACCACAGUUCUAAAGCUGGUAGAUCUUAGGUCUUGGGUUUGCUCCUAAGUGGUCCUGUUGAAGUAAGUGUGUGUGUGUGUGUGUGUGUGUGUGUGUGUGUGUGUGUGUAGCAGAGUUUGAUGUCAGCUAUCUUCCCCAGUCACACUAAACCUCACCCAUUUAAUUUUUUUCUAUUAAAUGUAUUUAUUUAUUUAUUUACUGGAGCAAG